CGUAGGGUGCAAGCGUUAAUCGGAAUUACUGGGCGUAAAGCGUGCGCAGGCGGUUUUGUAAGUCUGUCGUGAAAUCCCCGGGCUCAACCUGGGAAUUGCGAUGGAGACUGCAAGGCUAGAAUCUGGCAGAGGGGGUAGAAUUCCACGUGUAGCAGUGAAAUGCGUAGAGGUGUGGAGGAACACCGAUGGCGAAGGCAGCCCCCUGGGUCAAGAUUGACGCUCAUGCACGAAAGCGUGGGGAGCAAACAGGAUUAGAUACCCUGGUAGUCCACGCCCUAAACGAUGUCUACUAGUUGUCGGGUUUUAAUUAACUUGGUAACGCAGCUAACGCGUGAAGUAGACCGCCUGGGGAGUACGGUCGCAAGAUUA
Molecule: ribosomal RNA, 369 nt
Filed under: uncultured organism
Description: bacterial SSU rRNA
Rfam family: Bacterial small subunit ribosomal RNA
Source: RNAcentral